Molecule: ribosomal RNA, 449 nt
Filed under: bacterium MD2013
Lineage: Bacteria
Description: bacterial SSU rRNA
Rfam family: Bacterial small subunit ribosomal RNA
Source: RNAcentral
GAUGAACGCUGGCGGCGUGCUUAACACAUGCAAGUCGAACGAAGCACUUUCUUACGAUCCCUUCGGGGUGACGAGUUAGUGACUGAGUGGCGGACGGGUGAGUAACGCGUGGGUAACCUGCCUUAUACAGGGGGAUAACAGUUGGAAACGGCUGCUAAUACCGCAUAAGCGCACAGUACCGCAUGGUACAGUGUGAAAAACUCCGGUGGUAUAAGAUGGACCCGCGUCUGAUUAGCUAGUUGGUGAGGUAACGGCCCACCAAGGCGACGAUCAGUAGCCGAUCUGAGAGGAUGAACGGCCACAUUGGGACUGAGACACGGCCCAGACUCCUACGGGAGGCAGCAGUGGGGAAUAUUGCACAAUGGGCGAAAGCCUGAUGCAGCGACGCCGCGUGAGUGAUGAAGUAUUUCGGUAUGUAAAGCUCUAUCAGCAGGAAGAUAAUGACGGUA